GUUUCUCUCACCAGCCUGGAACAUGCCAAGUAGACAUGGCUAACUGGCCAGCAAGCCUGAAGGCUCACGGUCACCACCACCUCAGCAGUGGGAUUACAACUGGGUGCCAUCACGCCUGGCUUCAGCCCCCACCCCAGGGGAAGGGCAAACAGCUGGAAUGGCAGCUACAGCCCAGUAAGUACCCUCUGGGCUGCUGUUGCAACCCGUGCCUGGCGGAGACUCUGCAGCAGGCUGAUAUUAUGUAGGCUUAGUCUAGAGGCAAGACAGACAGACAGGCUGAAACUUCAAUACAACUGAUCAAACGAAAUUUCCUAU
Molecule: long non-coding RNA, 315 nt
Filed under: Mus pahari (shrew mouse)
Lineage: Eukaryota; Metazoa; Chordata; Mammalia; Rodentia; Muridae
Description: lncRNA (MGP_PahariEiJ_G0003819.1)
Source: RNAcentral